ACUUUAGCCCAUUUUGAUUAAACUAUCUAAUUUUUCAAAAUUUUCAUUUUAUUAUUCAAUCUUUUAAUUUAUUUGAUUUAAAUAAUUUGAUAACUCUGUGGAUACAAAAUUUAAGCUAAUUGCAUAUUUUAAUAAAAUUAUAGUUACAUAAUAUUACACAUAAUUAAAUAUAUAAAGAAAAACGGUGUAUUUGAAUUUAAAAGUUAAAGAGUUACUAACCGGUGGAAAUCAAAUAAAUUAAAAGGUUAGAUGGUAAAAUUAAAAUUUUAAAAAGUUAAAUGGU
Molecule: long non-coding RNA, 283 nt
Filed under: Ananas comosus (pineapple)
Lineage: Eukaryota; Viridiplantae; Streptophyta; Magnoliopsida; Poales; Bromeliaceae
Description: long non-coding RNA (ACOM_LNC042381)
Source: RNAcentral